Molecule: ribosomal RNA, 578 nt
Filed under: uncultured bacterium
Lineage: Bacteria
Description: bacterial SSU rRNA
Rfam family: Bacterial small subunit ribosomal RNA
Source: RNAcentral
CCUACGGGAGGCAGCAGUGAGGAAUAUUGGACAAUGGGCGCAAGCCUGAUCCAGCCAUGCCGCGUGCAGGAUGACGGUCCUAUGGAUUGUAAACUGCUUUUAUACAGGAAGAAACACCUCUACGAGUAGAGACUUGACGGUACUGUAAGAAUAAGGAUCGGCUAACUCCGUGCCAGCAGCCGCGGUAAUACGGAGGAUCCAAGCGUUAUCCGGAAUCAUUGGGUUUAAAGGGUGCGCAGGUGGGAAUGUAAGUCAGUGGUGAAAUGCUGCCGCUUAACGGUAGAAUUGCCAUUGAUACUGCGUUUCUUGAGUAUGGUUGAGGUAGGUGGAAUGUGUUGUGUAGCGGUGAAAUGCAUAGAUAUGACACAGAACGCCGAUUGCGAAGGCAACUUACUAAGCCAUUACUGACGCUGAGGCACGAAAGCGUGGGUAGCGAACAGGAUUAGAUACCCUGGUAGUCCACGCCGUAAACGAUGUUCACUCGCUGUUUGCGAUACACAGUAAGCGGCUGAGCGAAAGCAUUAAGUGAACCACCUGGGGAGUACGAUCGCAAGGUUGAAACUCAAAGGAAUUGACGG